RNAcentral lists this long non-coding RNA (536 nucleotides) under Homo sapiens (human). RNAcentral describes it as "HSALNT0083626". Lineage: Eukaryota; Metazoa; Chordata; Mammalia; Primates; Hominidae. The record is from RNAcentral.
GGAAGACAGAGUUCCAAUGCUGCUUGCAGAUUUCAGGGAAGAAGGUGUGUGGGCACGAGAGCCUGGGCCAUUGAACCCUCUCAUCUGCACAGAGGACUCCACCUGACUCCUCACCUGCCUGCCCUGGCCCAGGUGACAAGACAGCUGCUUUCUGCAAUUGGCCGGGCACCCUAGCAGUGAACACCACCUUCCACAGUGCAGGCUGGACGUGCCCUGUGUCUCCGCUGUGCACCUGCUGUCAGCAAGAGGCCCACAAAGGCAAGCUUGCUGGACAGAAGACAGGAGAGCAGCCUCCUCCCCAGGGGAGAACUCCUGAAAGCGUGAGCAGAAACGCACUCCACCACCUGGGAGAGUCAACUGCAACGCAGGGUGUGCUGGGGACAGCCACUGUCCGUGAGAAGACAGGGAGGGCAGACAGUCUGUUUUUAACAAAGACAGAGAUCUUGUAUAUAUGUAGACACACAUACAUAUAUACUGAGCCAUGCCAUGUUUAAAUUAUACUGCUGUUUUGUGCUUAAUAUUCAUUUGUCACUUUC